Poecilia reticulata (guppy) is the source of this 1981-nucleotide non-coding RNA. NCBI's taxonomy places the organism in Eukaryota, Metazoa, Chordata, Actinopteri, Cyprinodontiformes, Poeciliidae. The record is from RefSeq and is a predicted model, not a curated record.
CUAUCGCGCACAGCAUGUUCGUGGAGAACGUGGUGCUAAAUGACUUGCAGACGACCUGAUUUCUGGGGAUAAACAAAGUUUAUCCCCAGAAAUGAUCAUAUCUGAGACUAUUCUAACCAAUAUAACGCAAAAACACGUCUAAUCCACAUUAAACACUGAAACAUUAUGAAUAUUCAAAAUAAACAAAACAACAAAUAAAGGGAAUUAUGAAGUAAACUAAAUUAUCCUUCGAAAAUGAGGUUUAGUUGAGACCAAAACAUCAGACUGGAGAUUUUCAUCAUCCAGUUUUAUUAAAGCGAAAAAUAAUAAAUCAUGCAAAUUAUUGAAUUUGUUUUAAUUCAUCAUGCGAUUAAUUGAUCUAUUGGUUUAUUUUACCAACAAUAAAACGAAUCUGGAAGGAAAACUGAGAAACUUGGGGAAGAGAUAACUUAAAAAGUCAGUUUUUUUUCCACCCACAUCCAAUUUAAAUAAUGUUUUAAAUCUCACUUUCUUUUCUAGAAGAAAAUAAAUAAAAAAUGAAAUUAUUUUCUAAUAGUGUCUGUGAGUGUCAGAGUGAGGAUACAAGAACUGCUCUUUAAUUUUAAUAAAGACAAUUUUACCAGAAUGUCCUGAAAUUUAGAGAAAAAAGUCGAUUUUAUGGCUCAUCAGGUUCUGAAACAAGUUAUUUAAAUUUUUGUUAUUGUUCAUGUUCUCAAAAUGCCAACAACCAGAAGCUGUAAAGCAAGAUGGCCGCCCGCCGUGCUGACAUCACCAAGAACUGUGGAGACCAAACGGUUGCUUUGGCGGGAAAAAAAAUCUGAUUUUUCACAAAUUAAAUCUUCAAAAACCAAAAAUGUGAUUCCACAAACGCUGGGGGAAAUAUUUACUGGGAGGCUUCGGACCGACUGGCGACCAAACGUCACGAGCAGCUGCUGCCUUCGUGCUGCUUUUGUUUCAGGUUCAUCUGAAACAGCCAUGCUGGGGUCAAAGGUCAGAGCAGACCAGCAGCAGCAGCUCUCUGGUCCUCCUGGAAUCAUCCUCUCUGUCCAAGUCUCAUAAACAGAGAUUGUAUUAUUUUUAAAUUUUUCAGUAGAAAUUGUCUUUUCAGAGAUGCAGACCAGAUGUUUACCUUCCCGUCUGCCAGCUAAUUAUCUUCCACCCUCGGGAACAAAAUGUACAAAAUGUUCUCCAACUCAGAGGCUGUGGAGCAUCUUUGGUUUGAAAGUCAGUUUGUUGCAAAGAAACAUUCAUGCAUUAAUCCUGGACAAAAAACCCAACAAAAUAGAAAAUAUCAACUCAAAAAGUUUGGAAAACUGAACUUUCCUUAUUUCCUUUUGUUUCACUAAGAUGUUAAACCUUUAAUUUGUUGUGAGUCCAGGCUGCAUUGUACUGCAUUGUGCUGCAUUGUGCUGCAUUGUGGAAGUAUUUAUUGUGCAUUAUUGCUGUGAAGUGAAUUCAGUCAAACUGAAGCACAUAAAUAAAUUCCUGUUGAAUCUUUUAGCUGGAAAUAUUUCAGUUCCUGAGGAAAAGGAGCCACAGGUUUCUGUCGUUCCUGCACUUCAGACGCGCCGACGUUUAUUUAUUCCUCCUGGUUUCUGAUGAAAACGACGCUUUGAGCAGCGUUUACAUGUUGGCUCGGCCCAACUCGGCUCGGCUCGGCCCGGACCGAGUUGGGUUACAUUACAACCAGGAGGAAUAAAAAAACGUCGGCGCGUCUGAAGUGCAGGAACGACAGAAACCUUGUUUUCCUCCUGUAAACAAGUUGGACAUUAAAUAUUUGAUUUGGAACAUGUUUAUGUGUUUUAGUAACACAUUAAAAUGUUUUACUUUGUAAUUUUCUCACAGUGGAAAAUGUAAAGUACAACACAAACUGUCUUGAAAUGAUCCGACACAAAUCUGGAACAAACUUCUGGGAAAACUGUAAAGCAGCCGAAACGCUGAUUCCUUUAAACCCAGAAUAAAAUCCACCGGGUUAGAGCUGUUUUUGAUGUUUGAGAGUAAU